AGGGUUUGAUCAUGGCUCAGAUUGAACGCUGGCGGCAUGCUUAACACAUGCAAGUCGAACGGUAACAGGCUAGCUUGCUAGUGCUGACGAGUGGCGGACGGGUGAGUAACGCGUAGGAAUCUGCCUAGUAGUGGGGGAUAGCCCGGAGAAAUCCGGAUUAACACCGCAUACGCCCUACGGGGGAAAACAGGGGAUCUUCGGACCUUGUGCUAUUAGAUGAGCCUGCGUUAGAUUAGCUAGUUGGUGGGGUAAGAGCUCACCAAGGCAACGAUCUAUAGCUGGUCUGAGAGGAUGAUCAGCCACAUCGGGACUGAGACACGGCCCGGACUCCUACGGGAGGCAGCAGUGGGGAAUAUUGGACAAUGGGCGAAAGCCUGAUCCAGCAAUGCCGCGUGUGUGAAGAAGGCCUGAGGGUUGUAAAGCACUUUCAAUUGUGAAGAAGCGUUUGUAUCUAAUAGGUAUAAGCGUUGACGUUAACUUUAGAAGAAGCACCGGCUAACUCCGUGCCAGCAGCCGCGGUAAUACGGAGGGUGCAAGUGUUAAUCGGAAUUACUGGGCGUAAAGCGCGCGUAGGCGGUUAUUUAAGUCAGAUGUGAAAUCCCCGGGCUUAACCUGGGAAUGGCCUCUGAUACUGGGUAACUAGAGUUUGGAAGAGGGGAGUAGAAUUUCAGGUGUAGCGGUGAAAUGCAUAGAGAUCUGAAGGAAUACCAGUGGCGAAGGCGACUCCCUGGUCCAGAACCGACGCUGAGGUGCGAAAGCGUGGGUAGCAAACGGGAUUAGAUACCCCGGUAGUCCACGCUGUAAACGAUGUCAACUAGCCGUUGGGCGCCUUGUGCGCUUAGUGGCGCAGCUAACGCAUUAAGUUGACCGCCUGGGGAGUACGGUCGCAAGACUAAAACUCAAAGGAAUUGACGGU
This 916-nucleotide ribosomal RNA is filed under the name uncultured Gammaproteobacteria bacterium. RNAcentral describes it as "bacterial SSU rRNA". It matches the Rfam family "Bacterial small subunit ribosomal RNA", at positions 8 to 917 of the family's 1533-position model. The record is from RNAcentral. Lineage: Bacteria; Pseudomonadati; Pseudomonadota; Gammaproteobacteria.